Molecule: long non-coding RNA, 881 nt
Organism: Dreissena polymorpha
Lineage: Eukaryota; Metazoa; Mollusca; Bivalvia; Myida; Dreissenidae
Exons: 2
Source: RefSeq, a predicted model, not a curated record
UUUAACAUUUUAACAUUUAAGGUCACAGUGACCUUGACCUUCAAAUGAAUGACAUUGAAAUGACCAGUGGUCAUCUUCUAGUACUGGCCAAUCUUUAUUUCAAGUUUGAAGACUCUAGGUACAAGCAUACCAAAGUUAUACCAUGAAAUAAGAACUUUAACAUUUUUACAUUCAAGGUCACAGUGACCUUGACCUUCAAAUGAAUGACCUUGAAAUGUCCAGUGGUUACUUACUAGUUCUGGCCAACCUUCAUGUCAAGUUUCAAGACUCUAGGUCCAAGCAUACCAAAGUUAUAACAACUUUAACAUUUUUACAUUCAAGGUCACAGUGACCUUGACCUUCAAAUGAAUGACCUUGAAAUGUCCAGUGGUUACUUACUAGUUCUGGCCAACCUUCAUGUCAAGUUUCAAGACUCUAGGUCCAAGCAUACCAAAGUUAUAACAACUUUAACAUUUUUAUAUUGAAGGUCACAGUGACCUUCACCUUCAAAUGAAUGACCUUGAAAUGACCAGUGGUCAUCUGUUAAUCCUGGCCAACCUUCAUGUCAAGUUUGAAGACUCUAGGUCCAAGCAUACCAAAGUUAUACCAUGAAAUAAGAACUUUAACAUUUUUACAUUCAAGGUCACAGUGACCUUGACCUUCAAAUGAAUGACCUUGAAAUGACCAGUGGUUACUAACUAGUUAUGGCCAACCUUCAUGUCAAGUUUCAAGACUCUAGGUCCAAGCAUACCAAAGUUAUAACAACUUUAACAUUUUUUAUAUUGAAGGUCACAGUGACCUUGACCUUCAAAUGAAUGACCUUGAAAUGACCAGUGGUCAUCUGUUAAUCCUGGCCAACCUUCAUGUCAAGUUUGAAGACUCUAGGUCCAAGCAUACCAAAG